CACACUUUCCUCCGGACCAGAUACCCCGGUUUCUCCACCGUGGAGGCUGCUCUCGGGGUUCCCCUUAUCCCGCCCUCAAGGAAGUUUUGUGGUGUUGCAGGAAGAGUGACACCAGGGGAGGGUGCUCUCCUGCACUUCGGACUAAUGGCCUUUUUGGCAGCUACACAGUAGUCCAGGAGAUGGGCGCAUCCGGUUCUCAACAUUUCAUAACAUCGUCUUUUAAGGUACACAGACAAAAUGGAGUGUCUGGACUGGCAAAGCCAAGAGCUGGAGGCCCUGGCCUGGAAUGACCUCAUCAAGACCUUGCUGCCCUGGGACACUCUCUCUGAGCAAUCAGUCAGCACCCCCUUCCUGUUG
Rhinopithecus roxellana (golden snub-nosed monkey) is the source of this 357-nucleotide long non-coding RNA. RefSeq lists it as uncharacterized. The record is from RefSeq and is a predicted model, not a curated record. NCBI's taxonomy places the organism in Eukaryota, Metazoa, Chordata, Mammalia, Primates, Cercopithecidae. The transcript is spliced from 3 exons.